UAUUGGGCAAUGGGCGCAAGCCUGACCCAGCAACGCCGCGUGAAGGAAGAAGGCCCUCGGGUNGUAAACUUCUUUUAUUCGGGACNNAANNNANGACGGUACCGAAUGAAUAAGCCACGGCUAACUACGUNNNANCNGCCGCGGUAAUACGUAGGUGGCAAGCGUUAUCCGGAUUUACUGGGUGUAAAGGGCGUGUAGGCGGGAGAGCAAGUCAGACGUGAAAUUCCAGGGCUCAACCCUGGAACUGCGUUCGAAACUGUUCUUCUUGAGUGAUGGAGAGGCAGGCGGAAUUCCGUGUGUAGCGGUGAAAUGCGUGGAUAUACGGAGGAACACCAGUGGCGAAGGCGGCCUGCUGGACAUUAACUGACGCUGAGGCGCGAAAGCGUGGGGAGCAAACAG
This 399-nucleotide ribosomal RNA is filed under the name uncultured bacterium. RNAcentral describes it as "partial 16S ribosomal RNA". It matches the Rfam family "Bacterial small subunit ribosomal RNA", at positions 362 to 775 of the family's 1533-position model. The record is from RNAcentral.